Molecule: microRNA, 22 nt
Filed under: Solanum lycopersicum (tomato)
Lineage: Eukaryota; Viridiplantae; Streptophyta; Magnoliopsida; Solanales; Solanaceae
Description: sly-miR6023
Source: miRBase by way of RNAcentral
UUCCAUGAAAGAGUUUUUGGAU